UUUGACAAAACCAUGGUUUCUCAACUUUCUGCUGAGUGAAUACAGUGUAUCACGAAAAAAAGAAAUAAACACAUUGCCACUCAUCUGUAAGAAAGGCAUGUUUUGUUUUUAUGUGUAUCUGGUCAUAUGUCCACUGAAAAAAUACUAAUGAUAAAUAAGUUGAGAGAAUGUACCGUUUGCUUAAAUGAGAAUGAAAUACAGAUACAUUCAACGUUGCUUUAAAGAUGUUUAACGUUUAAAUAUGUUAAGUAUGCUGUCGAAAUGUCAGCUUAAGACUGAAAUUGGCUAUCCACUUUUAAACAUAUUCUUAGAAAUAUCACAGUACUUAGUGUAUAUAAAGGAAUAUAGGCUACUUGAAUUAAAUAGGUAGUGUG
RNAcentral lists this long non-coding RNA (374 nucleotides) under Mytilus galloprovincialis (Mediterranean mussel). Lineage: Eukaryota; Metazoa; Mollusca; Bivalvia; Mytilida; Mytilidae. The record is from RNAcentral.